GACGAACGCUGGCGGCGUGCUUAACACAUGCAAGUCGAACGGUGAAGCCCUUCGGGGUGGAUCAGUGGCGAACGGGUGAGUAACACGUGAGCAACCUGCCCCUGGCUCUGGGACAACCACUGGAAACGGUGGCUAAUACCGGAUACGACCCGCCUCGGCAUCGAGUGUGGUGGAAAGUUUUUCGGCUGGGGAUGGGCUCGCGGCCUAUCAGCUUGUUGGUGAGGUGAAGGCUCACCAAGGCGACGACGGGUAGCCGGCCUGAGAGGGCGACCGGCCACACUGGGACUGAGACACGGCCCAGACUCCUACGGGAGGCAGCAGUGGGGAAUAUUGCACAAUGGGCGAAAGCCUGAUGCAGCGACGCCGCGUGAGGGAUGACGGCCUUCGGGUUGUAAACCUCUUUCAGCUCCGAAGAAGCGAAAGUGACGGUAGGAGCAGAAGAAGCACCGGCUAACUACGUG
Molecule: ribosomal RNA, 461 nt
Filed under: uncultured bacterium
Lineage: Bacteria
Description: partial 16S ribosomal RNA
Rfam family: Bacterial small subunit ribosomal RNA
Source: RNAcentral